RNAcentral lists this ribosomal RNA (113 nucleotides) under Enochrus coarctatus. RNAcentral's name for it is "partial large subunit ribosomal RNA". Lineage: Eukaryota; Metazoa; Arthropoda; Insecta; Coleoptera; Hydrophilidae. The record is from RNAcentral.
UGAUCUGAGUUCAAACCGGUGUGAGCCAGGUUGGAUUCUAUCUUUAAAUAAUUAAAAUGAUUUAGUACGAAAGGACCCAUUAUUUGUAAUAUUUAUUGUAUUUUUGAACAAAA